GGUAACUGAGGGGUGCUGUGCCUGGCUGUGUCUGCUGCAACAUUGAUCAACACAGCAACAUUGACCAGUCUGAGGGGUGGAGACAACCACACUAGUAAAUAGUCUGACCCAUAACAUUUAGUGUUAUAUGGAGAUGCAGCAGUUGGAGACGUCGUUAGAGGUGGGCAGGGCCCCACUUGUAAGGCAGCUGCUGUGUGGUGAAGACCGUGUUGUGGGCAGCUGCUGUGUGGUGAAGGCCCUGUUGUGGGCAGCUGCAAGUCUUCAGAUAUCACCAGCAGCAACACCCCAAAACAAUGUCUGCAAAGAUAACGGUCGAUGGAACUGGAGGAGCUGGAGGUGCUGAUGGUGUGGUGGAUGGCAGAAGAGUGACUAGUGGCGCCACUAUUCUUGACCUCCAUGGCUAAAUGGCACCACUGACCUGG
Molecule: long non-coding RNA, 422 nt
Organism: Cherax quadricarinatus
Lineage: Eukaryota; Metazoa; Arthropoda; Malacostraca; Decapoda; Parastacidae
Source: RefSeq, a predicted model, not a curated record